This 253-nucleotide ribosomal RNA is filed under the name uncultured bacterium. RNAcentral's name for it is "partial 16S ribosomal RNA". It matches the Rfam family "Bacterial small subunit ribosomal RNA", at positions 524 to 776 of the family's 1533-position model. The record is from RNAcentral.
UACGAAGGGGGCUAGCGUUGUUCGGAAUCACUGGGCGUAAAGGGCGCGUAGGCGGCCUGAUAAGUCGGGGGUGAAAGCCUGUGGCUCAACCACAGAAUUGCCUUCGAUACUGUUAGGCUUGAGACCGGAAGAGGUAAGUGGAACUGCGAGUGUAGAGGUUAAAUUCGUAGAUAUUCGCAAGAACACCAGUGGCGAAGGCGGCUUACUGGUCCGGUUCUGACGCUGAGGCGCGAAAGCGUGGGGAGCAAACAGG